GAACGCGAAGAACCUUACCAAGUCUUGACAUACUGUGAGGACACAAGAGAUUGUGUUGUUCUGACCUUUGGUUAGACACAGAUACAGGUGGUGCAUGGUUGUCGUCAGCUCGUGUCGUGAGAUGUUGGGUUAAGUCCCGCAACGAGCGCAACCCUUAUAUCUAGUUGCCAGCAGUAAGAUGGGGACUCUAGGUAGACUGCCAGUGAUAAACUGGAGGAAGGUGGGGAUGACGUCAAAUCAUCAUGCCCCUUAUGACUUGGGCUACACACGUGCUACAAUGGAUAGGAACAAAGAGAAGCGAGCUCGCGAGAGUAAGCAAACCUCACAAAACUAUUCUCAGUUCGGAUUGUAGUCUGCAACUCGACUACAUGAAGCUGGAAUCGCUAGUAAUCGCGAAUCAGAAUGUCGCGGUGAAUACGUUCCCGGGUCUUGUACACACC
This 440-nucleotide ribosomal RNA is filed under the name uncultured bacterium. RNAcentral describes it as "bacterial SSU rRNA". It matches the Rfam family "Bacterial small subunit ribosomal RNA", at positions 957 to 1391 of the family's 1533-position model. The record is from RNAcentral.